RNAcentral lists this ribosomal RNA (1397 nucleotides) under Curtobacterium sp. NCCP-521. Its description in RNAcentral is "bacterial SSU rRNA". It matches the Rfam family "Bacterial small subunit ribosomal RNA". Lineage: Bacteria; Bacillati; Actinomycetota; Actinomycetes; Micrococcales; Microbacteriaceae. The record is from RNAcentral.
UGCAGUCGACGAUGAUGCCCAGCUUGCUGGGUGGAUUAGUGGCGAACGGGUGAGUAACACGUGAGUAACCUGCCCCUGACUCUGGGAUAAGCGUUGGAAACGACGUCUAAUACUGGAUAUGACUGCCGGCCGCAUGGUCUGGUGGUGGAAAGAUUUUUUGGUUGGGGAUGGACUCGCGGCCUAUCAGCUUGUUGGUGAGGUAAUGGCUCACCAAGGCGACGACGGGUAGCCGGCCUGAGAGGGUGACCGGCCACACUGGGACUGAGACACGGCCCAGACUCCUACGGGAGGCAGCAGUGGGGAAUAUUGCACAAUGGGCGAAAGCCUGAUGCAGCAACGCCGCGUGAGGGAUGACGGCCUUCGGGUUGUAAACCUCUUUUAGUAGGGAAGAAGCGUAAGUGACCGUACCUGCAGAAAAAGCACCGGCUAACUACGUGCCAGCAGCCGCGGUAAUACGUAGGGUGCAAGCGUUGUCCGGAAUUAUUGGGCGUAAAGAGCUCGUAGGCGGUUUGUCGCGUCUGCUGUGAAAUCCCGAGGCUCAACCUCGGGCUUGCAGUGGGUACGGGCAGACUAGAGUGCGGUUAGGGGAGAUUGGGAAUUCCUGGUGUAGCGGGUGGAAUGCGCAGAUAUCAGGAGGAACACCGAUGGCGAAGGCAGAUCUCUGGGCCGUAACUGACGCUGAGGAGCGAAAGCGUGGGGAGCGAACAGGAUUAGAUACCCUGGUAGUCCACGCCGUAAACGUUGGGCGCUAGAUGUAGGGACCUUUCCACGGUUUCUGUGUCGUAGCUAACGCAUUAAGCGCCCCGCCUGGGGGAGUACGGCCGCAAGGCUAAAACUCAAAGGAAUUGACGGGGGCCCGCACAAGCGGCGGAGCAUGCGGAUUAAUUCGAUGCAACGCGAAGAACCUUACCAAGGCUUGACAUACACCGGAAACGGCCAGAGAUGGUUGCCCCCUUGUGGUCGGUGUACAGGUGGUGCAUGGUUGUCGUCAGCUCCUGUCGUGAGAUGUUGGGUUAAAUCCCGCAACCAGCGCAACCCUCGUUCUAUGUUGCCAGCGCGUUAUGGCGGGGACUCAUAGGAGACUGCCGGGGUCAACUCGGAGGAAGGUGGGGAUGACGUCAAAUCAUCAUGCCCCUUAUGUCUUGGGCUUCACGCAUGCUACAAUGGCCGGUACAAAGGGCUGCGAUACCGUAAGGUGGAGCGAAUCCCAAAAAGCCGGUCUCAGUUCGGAUUGAGGUCUGCAACUCGACCUCAUGAAGUCGGAGUCGCUAGUAAUCGCAGAUCAGCAACGCUGCGGUGAAUACGUUCCCGGGCCUUGUACACACCGCCCGUCAAGUCAUGAAAGUCGGUAACACCCGGAAGCCGGUGGCCUAACCCUUGUGGAAGGAGCCGUCGAA